GCGGGAAGUCUGAAGCCGGUAAACAUGGCCGUCACCGACAGCCUCAGCCGGGCUGCGACUGUCUUGGCAACUGUGUUGCUCUUGUCCUUCGGCAGCGUGGCCGCUAGUCAUAUCGAGGAUCAAGCAGAACAAUUCUUUAGAAGUGGCCAUACAAACAACUGGGCUGUUCUGGUAACUGUGGAGAAUUUUUUACGGGUAUUAACUGGGAGGAUCCCACCUAGUACUCCUCGGUCAAAACGUCUUCUUUCUGAUGACAGAAGCAAUAUUCUAAUUUAUAUGACAGGGCAUGGUGGAAAUGGUUUCUUAAAAUUUCAAGAUUCUGAAGAAAUUACCAACAUAGAACUCGCGGAUGCUUUUGAACAAAUGUGGCAGAAAAGACGCUACAAUGAGCUACUGUUUAUUAUUGAUACUUGCCAAGGAGCAUCCAUGUAUGAACGAUUUUAUUCUCCUAACAUAAUGGCUCUAGCUAGUAGUCAAGUGGGAGAAGAUUCACUCUCGCAUCAACCUGAUCCUGCAAUUGGAGUCCAUCUUAUGGAUAGAUACACAUUUUAUGUCUUGGAAUUUUUGGAAGAAAUUAACCCAGCUAGCCAAACUAAUAUGAAUGACCUUUUUCAGGUAUGUCCCAAAAGUCUGUGUGUGUCUACUCCUGGACAUCGCACUGAUCUUUUUCAGAGGGAUCCUAAAAAUGUACUGAUAACUGAUUUCUUUGGAAGUGUACGGAAAGUGGAAAUUACAAC
This 737-nucleotide long non-coding RNA is filed under the name Homo sapiens (human). Its description in RNAcentral is "non-protein coding lnc-USP33-7:1". The record is from RNAcentral. Lineage: Eukaryota; Metazoa; Chordata; Mammalia; Primates; Hominidae.